UGGAUUGAUAAUGACCACUGGUGGCGUAUGAGUUAUGUAUGAUGAAAACGUGUCUGGAACUCCGAGGUCCAA
Ursus americanus (American black bear) is the source of this 72-nucleotide small nucleolar RNA. The record is from Ensembl. NCBI's taxonomy places the organism in Eukaryota, Metazoa, Chordata, Mammalia, Carnivora, Ursidae.